GACGAACGCUGGCGGCGUGCUUAACACAUGCAAGUCGAACGGAAAGGCCCCCUUCUGGGGUACUCGAGUGUCGAACGGGAGAGUAACACGAGAGUAACCUACCCUUCACUUUGGGAUAAGUUCAGGAAACGGGGGCUAAUACCGGAUAGGAGCUCCUGCUGCACGGUGUGGGUUGGUAAUUUUGGGCGGUUGUGGUUGGACUCGCAGCUUAUCAGCUUGUUGGUGGGGUAGUGGCUCACGAAGCGGUUGACGGGUAGCCGGCCUUGGAGGGUGACCGGGGACAUGGGUCCUACGGUACGGACCAGACUCCUACGGGAGGCAGCGGUGGGGAAUAUUGCGCAAUGGGCGGAAGCGUGAUGCAGCAGCGCCGCGUGCGGGAAGACGGCCUUCGGGGUGUAAACCGCUUUCGCAUGUGACGAAGCGGGAGUGACGGUAAUGGGUAAAGAAGCACCGGCUAACUACGUG
RNAcentral lists this ribosomal RNA (465 nucleotides) under uncultured bacterium. Its description in RNAcentral is "partial 16S ribosomal RNA". It matches the Rfam family "Bacterial small subunit ribosomal RNA", at positions 28 to 507 of the family's 1533-position model. The record is from RNAcentral.